GAUGAACGCUGGCGGCGUGCUUAACACAUGCAAGUCGAACGAUGAAGCCCAGCUUGCUGGGUGGAUUAGUGGCGAACGGGUGAGUAACACGUGAGUAACCUGCCCUUAACUCUGGGAUAAGCCUGGGAAACUGGGUCUAAUACCGGAUAGGAGCGUCCACCGCAUGGUGGGUGUUGGAAAGAUUUAUCGGUUUUGGAUGGACUCGCGGCCUAUCAGCUUGUUGGUGAGGUAAUGGCUCACCAAGGCGACGACGGGUAGCCGGCCUGAGAGGGUGACCGGCCACACUGGGACUGAGACACGGCCCAGACUCCUACGGGAGGCAGCAGUGGGGAAUAUUGCACAAUGGGCGCAAGCCUGAUGCAGCGAUGCCGCGUGAGGGAUGACGGCCUUCGGGUUGUAAACCUCUUUCAGUAGGGAAGAAGCGAAAGUGACGGUACCUGCAGAAGAAGCACCGGCUAACUACGUG
Molecule: ribosomal RNA, 466 nt
Filed under: uncultured bacterium
Lineage: Bacteria
Description: partial 16S ribosomal RNA
Rfam family: Bacterial small subunit ribosomal RNA
Source: RNAcentral